CAGUAGACGUGUGAAUCAUCGAAUCUUUGAACGCACUUUGCACCUCGUGGCUCCUGUCACGAGGUAUACUUGUUUGAGUAUCCGUAACCUGCUCACCUCUCCCUCGGGGCGGUGGACUCUGGAAUUCGAGUCGCUUGCGAGUCGUCUUCUAAAAAGUAUGGCUAACCGUGGAAGGUCUCCGCAGAGACUUGACCGACCAUUUGGAUAAUGUCCUACAAUUGUCGCGUUAAGUCAACUACUGUGUUGACCUACCUGGCCACCCCGACCAAGCAGAUAUCAGUAAAUGGUUUCUGUGCGGUCAACUUAAUACUAACUGGAUCUCAAAUCAAGUAAGGAUACCCGCUGAACUUAAGCAUAUCAAUAAGCGGAGG
This 371-nucleotide ribosomal RNA is filed under the name uncultured Mortierellales. Its description in RNAcentral is "eukaryotic LSU rRNA". The stretch from base 316 to 371 matches the Rfam family "Eukaryotic large subunit ribosomal RNA", at positions 1 to 56 of the family's 3401-position model. The record is from RNAcentral. Lineage: Eukaryota; Fungi; Mortierellomycota; Mortierellomycetes; Mortierellales.